CCAUUAUUCUCUCUUGGUAAUUUAUUUAUGCACUCUCAUUAUUUCUCAUGCUCCAAUUACCCAAGUUAUCCUCCUCUCGCUAAUCCUUUCAUCUUCCUCUUAGGGUCUAUAAAUCUAUAAACCAAUCUCGAAAUAACAACACAAGCAGAGGAAAAAAAAAUCUUAGAGAGUACGAGAUGAAGGUGUAUGUGGAGACGGUCCCCAACUACAUUGACACAGAGAAAUAACAUUUUUUAAGGAGAGUUUCAACGAUUUGGAGUUUCGAAGCUCCAAUCUUCAUGGAAUGUUAGAGGUGGAUGGAGCAGAAUGUGUGCCAAUGGAUAAAAUGGAGUUUGGUCUGACACAUCAAUCAAAGACGCCUCAAGAUGUUGGUGACAUAUUUAGUUGUAAGGGAAGCACGUGUUGGAUCUAUAGCUCGAUUAUUAGACUUGCUCUCAAGAACUCUUCAAUCUUCAAAGACAUCUCAAGACGUUGGUUAUAUAUUCGAGUUGCAAGAGAAGCAYUUGUUGGAUCUAUAUUGGGUUCCUAUACUUGUGAUAAUACAAUUUCACUUUGUAACGAAGUUAAUAAAAGUAUUGGUUAAUCAAAUAUCAAGGGAUCCACGAGAACCUCUCACCACUCAAAACAGACAGCAAGCAUAAAGGUAAAAAACACAGAGCAAAGGAGAAGAAGAACACAGGAUUUAUAGUGGUUUGACAAUGAGGCCYACAUCCACUAUUGAGAGCAGAUUCUCAUUCACUAUUGAACUGAAGAUACAAAGAUGAAAGCCACACUUACAAACRGAACUUUUCAAGGGACAUGCAUGCCAGUGAGUUUAGAGCAAUGAUCGAAUUUGCUUUGUACAACUGGCUUUGUUAGCAUAUCUGCGGUGUUCUCAGCGGUGGAGAUCAGGUUCACAGUGAUGGUGAUGGUGAUGGUGCAAGGGAGACUCGAGAAGAAGGACCAUAGCUAACUUCCGAUUAGUUUUAACUUGUCUAAAAUAGGUAUUUAGGAGUUCUUGAUGGUUUAGUUUAUUUCUAUGUUUUGUGCAUUGACUUGUGUAAAGUUCAGGGGUUGGUAUAAUGUUUUAGACGACUUUUCUUUUAAGUAUGGACUCCUAUAAAGAUUAUGUCAUUAGUUUCAUUGAGAAGCUUAGGGACUAUGUUUAAUGUUGUUAAAUUUGCUAACUUUUAAAGAU
Long non-coding RNA from Momordica charantia (bitter melon), 1177 nucleotides. RefSeq lists it as uncharacterized. Lineage: Eukaryota; Viridiplantae; Streptophyta; Magnoliopsida; Cucurbitales; Cucurbitaceae. The record is from RefSeq and is a predicted model, not a curated record.